GGACCUGUGGGUUGGUCGUGCCUCCGGUACGUACUGGCUCUACCGGUUCCUCCCUUCUGAAGAACCACGAUGUCAUUAAUUUGGUGUCGUGGGGAAUCAGGACUGUUACUUUGAAAAAAUUAGAGUGUUUAAAGCAGGCAUUUUGCUUGAAUACAUUAGCAUGGAAUAAUAAAAUAGGACGGCAUGAUUCUAUUUUGUUGGUUUCUAGGAUCACCGU
Molecule: ribosomal RNA, 217 nt
Filed under: uncultured Glomus
Lineage: Eukaryota; Fungi; Glomeromycota; Glomeromycetes; Glomerales; Glomeraceae
Description: partial 18S ribosomal RNA
Rfam family: Eukaryotic small subunit ribosomal RNA (bases 47-217)
Source: RNAcentral